UUUGAGUCAAACGCGAGUCUCGCGUCUCAGAAGUGAACUGCUUACUAACUGGGAGGCUGCUUCGCGGUUCCUUAUGCAGUUGGAAACCUUUUUUUUUUCUUUCUGUUUUUAAAUUUCAGUAUUUUGAAACAGGCUCUCAUUCGGUCUCUAAAGCUGGUCUGCACCUCCUAGUAAUCUUUCUGCCUCAGCUUCCCGAGUGCUGGACUUAAGAAGCUUCUCUAUGUGCUCAGCACUGGAGUUGGAUCCAGUCUUGACAGUGGAAGCUUUUGGAGUCCAGGUGAACCCCAUAUUAUAGCGGUCAAUCCCAGUGGCAGAAGGAAUGUAUGAGGUGCUUUUCUCACUGCUGUGAAUCAACUAACUGACAAGAAACAGAGUUAAGGAAGUAAGGGUUUAUUUUGGCUCUCAGUUUGAGGUGACACCCCAUCAUAAUGAAUUCAUGGGAGCAGGAACCUGGGGUAGCUGGUCACAUUGCACCCACAGAAUCCACAGGAAGUUCCGGUGCCGCACUCACUUCCUCCUUUUUCCCCUGGGACUCCAUCCCAUGGAAUGGUGCCACCCAUAGUUAAGUGGAAGAUCUCCGGGAAUACUCUCAAAGAUACAACCAGAGGUGUGUCUCCU
RNAcentral lists this long non-coding RNA (618 nucleotides) under Cricetulus griseus (Chinese hamster). Its description in RNAcentral is "lncRNA (ENSCGRG00015039721.1)". The record is from RNAcentral. Lineage: Eukaryota; Metazoa; Chordata; Mammalia; Rodentia; Cricetidae.